CCAUGCAGUCGAGCGGAUGAGAAGAGCUUGCUCUUCGAUUCAGCGGCGGACGGGUGAGUAAUGCCUAGGAAUCUGCCUGGUAGUGGGGGACAACGUUUCGAAAGGAACGCUAAUACCGCAUACGUCCUACGGGAGAAAGCAGGGGACCUUCGGGCCUUGCGCUAUCAGAUGAGCCUAGGUCGGAUUAGCUAGUUGGUGAGGUAAUGGCUCACCAAGGCGACGAUCCGUAACUGGUCUGAGAGGAUGAUCAGUCACACUGGAACUGAGACACGGUCCAGACUCCUACGGGAGGCAGCAGUGGGGAAUAUUGGACAAUGGGCGAAAGCCUGAUCCAGCCAUGCCGCGUGUGUGAAGAAGGUCUUCGGAUUGUAAAGCACUUUAAGUUGGGAGGAAGGGCAGUAAGCGAAUACCUUGCUGUUUUGACGUUACCGACAGAAUAAGCACCGGCUAACUCUGUGCCAGCAGCCGCGGUAAUACAGAGGGUGCAAGCGUUAAUCGGAAUUACUGGGCGUAAAGCGCGCGUAGGUGGUUUGUUAAGUUGGAUGUGAAAGCCCCGGGCUCAACCUGGGAACUGCAUCCAAAACUGGCAAGCUAGAGUACAGUAGAGGGUGGUGGAAUUUCCUGUGUAGCGGUGAAAUGCGUAGAUAUACGAAGGAACACCAGUGGCGAAAGCGACCACCUGGACUGAUACUGACACUGAGGUGCGAAAGCGUGGGGGAGCAAAACAGGAUUAAAAUACCCUGGGUAUUCCACGCCCGUAAACGAUAUUCAACUCA
Molecule: ribosomal RNA, 776 nt
Filed under: Pseudomonas oryzihabitans
Lineage: Bacteria; Pseudomonadati; Pseudomonadota; Gammaproteobacteria; Pseudomonadales; Pseudomonadaceae
Description: bacterial SSU rRNA
Rfam family: Bacterial small subunit ribosomal RNA
Source: RNAcentral